UAGAAUAAAACGUCCAAGGCUGCUAGAACCGCCAAGAUUAACCCUUUCGAUGUGAAUUCUUUCUUACGCUAUAUAUCAACAUCGAUGGAUGGAACUUUUACCUUACGACGUUCUAUUAUGGUCGAACAGUGAUGCAUAGUCCAUUCACCGGACUUCGUAAUCCACGCGAUGAAACACGUCGAUCCUCUAUCCUUUUAUCUCUUUAUAAAGAUACAGAAAAUGUAAUAAGAUUACGAAUAAAAUAAAGCCUACGACGUUAAUCGAUCCAAUUUAAAAAAGAGACAUUCGAUUUGUAUUUGCAAGAAGAAGAAGAAGAAGAAGAAGAAAGAAAACGACUACAGAGUGCGUUGAACGUACAUAGUUCGCAGCAAUGGAAUUUCAAAUGCAUAUACACAAAUGUAUUCAUAGACCAAGAGAAUGGAUUUCGUUUAGCGCAUAUAGGCGUUCAUAAAAUCGAAGUGGUUAAUGUAGAUCACGCGCGUGUUUCUAGUUUCACGUCGUUAUAGAGCCAAAAACCGUAUUUCGUUGUUAUUGCUAAUAACUACGUGCCGCGUAGUUGUCCAGUUGGAGAUAGAAAAAGCCAAAUUUUUUUUAUACGCGACAAAAAAAAAAAAGCCAACGCUAGAUUUUCCUAUUCU
RNAcentral lists this unclassified non-coding RNA (638 nucleotides) under Bombus terrestris (buff-tailed bumblebee). RNAcentral's name for it is "misc RNA ENSBTSG00005024840.1". The record is from RNAcentral. Lineage: Eukaryota; Metazoa; Arthropoda; Insecta; Hymenoptera; Apidae.